CGAAUCACUGAUCGUGUCGGGUGUCAUUCGUUCCAGAAAUCGAAGGCCCCGAAGAGUCCGUGUACGCCGGCGGCGUCUUCAAGCUCAAGAUCCAGAUUCCCGAACGCUACCUGUUUCAGCCUCCGAGCGUGAUGUUCCAGACGCCGAUUUACCACCCCAACAUCGACAACGGCGGCAGGAUUUGCCUCGACAUCCUCAACCUCCCGCCCAAAGUGAGUCCCCCUUUUGGGCUUCUGCACCAGGACGACCGAGGGUUUCUCGUCCGAAUUGCGUUGCCGCGACUUGUGUAGUUUGCGCAUUCCGUCGCGUUCGAAUUAGAUUUUUUCCGCAUUCGGCCAUUGCUGGAUUUAGAUGGGAAUUGCUGGAGUAGUUGCUUGGGGCUCCCAGAUUUCGAGGAAUCACAUUUUCAAGUGAUUGUGCUUGUGGGAGUUGCUUUCUAGGAAAAUGCUCUAUCUUUUGCUGUUGGUCAUAAAGGUGGAUCCGGAGAGGCGCAUAUUCUAGUUCACAAGCCUGAAUUAGCUUUUCAUUUAGUGCAAACGACUUUCAAUCCCAUUUCUUUUUCAUAUGCAGGGAAAAUGGGGCUUGCCAAUUAGCACUUAAAUUUAGCGCCUCAUGGUAUUCUUCUUGUGUCGAUGUAACAUGUCAUUCUGUUAACUGAUAGUUUUUGCGUUGACUGCAAUGCUGUAUGUCAUUCUGUUAACUCCCUCUUGUUUCUCACGGUUGUGUCAAUAUUAGCUGCAUUGGGCUUCUUGCUUUAUGGAGGAAGGUUGUUUUUCAUGCUGAGGCGUUUUCCUAUUGAAUCUAAAGGAAGAAGGAAUAAGCUCCAUGAGGUGCUUUUCCUUUCAUUUUAAAUCAGAAUUUAGUCCUGUCACUUCUUUCUGCUUCUUGCCUUUGUUUAAGAGACAUAUUUUAAUUAUUGUGCACAUCUGUAAUUAUUACUUUGGAGUUAAAGUGAAAAUAUGAACUGUAUUGCUCGUGGUGGUGCUUGGUGUUGUCACUAAUAUCUUUGUUAGAAACUGGAAAUUUUUGGGA
This is a long non-coding RNA of Eucalyptus grandis, 1032 nucleotides long. RefSeq lists it as uncharacterized. NCBI's taxonomy places the organism in Eukaryota, Viridiplantae, Streptophyta, Magnoliopsida, Myrtales, Myrtaceae. The record is from RefSeq and is a predicted model, not a curated record. The transcript is spliced from 3 exons.